Molecule: ribosomal RNA, 254 nt
Filed under: uncultured bacterium
Lineage: Bacteria
Description: partial 16S ribosomal RNA
Rfam family: Bacterial small subunit ribosomal RNA
Source: RNAcentral
UACGUAGGGUGCAAGCGUUGUCCGGAAUUAUUGGGCGUAAAGAGCUCGUAGGCGGUCUGUCGCGUCUGCUGUGAAAACUCAGGGCUUAACCCUGAGCUUGCAGUCGAUACGGGCAGGCUAGAGUGUGGUAGGGGGAGAUCGGAAUUCCUGGUGUAGCGGUGAAAUGCGCAGAUAUCAGGAGGAACACCGGUGGCGAAGGCGGAUCUCUGGGCCAUUACUGACGCUGAGGAGCGAAAGCGUGGGGAGCGAACAGG